AUUGAACGCUGGCGGCAUGCCUUACACAUGCAAGUCGAACGGCAGCACGGGAGUAAUCCUGGUGGCGAGUGGCGAACGGGUGAGUAAUAUAUCGGAACGUGCCCAGUCGUGGGGGAUAACGCAGCGAAAGCUGUGCUAAUACCGCACACGAUCUAAGGAUGAAAGCGGGGGAUCGCAAGACCUCGCGCGAUUGGAGCGGCCGAUAUCAGAUUAGCUAGUUGGUGGGGUAAAGGCCCACCAAGGCGACGAUCUGUAGCUGGUCUGAGAGGACGACCAGCCACACUGGAACUGAGACACGGUCCAGACUCCUACGGGAGGCAGCAGUGGGGAAUUUUGGACAAUGGGCGCAAGCCUGAUCCAGCAAUGCCGCGUGCAGGAUGAAGGCCUUCGGGUUGUAAACUGCUUUUGUACGGAACGAAACGGCCCUUUCUAAUACAGGGGGCUAGUGACGGUACCGUAAGAAUAAGCACCGGCUAACUACGUGCCAGCCGCCGCAGUAA
RNAcentral lists this ribosomal RNA (500 nucleotides) under uncultured bacterium. RNAcentral describes it as "partial 16S ribosomal RNA". It matches the Rfam family "Bacterial small subunit ribosomal RNA", at positions 30 to 523 of the family's 1533-position model. The record is from RNAcentral.